Molecule: ribosomal RNA, 508 nt
Filed under: uncultured bacterium
Lineage: Bacteria
Description: partial 16S ribosomal RNA
Rfam family: Bacterial small subunit ribosomal RNA
Source: RNAcentral
GACGAACGCUGGCGGCGUGCCUAAUACAUGCAAGUCGAACGCUUCUUUCCUCCCGAGUGCUUGCACUCAAUUGGAAAGAGGAGUGGCGGACGGGUGAGUAACACGUGGGUAACCUACCCAUCAGAGGGGGAUAACACUUGGAAACAGGUGCUAAUACCGCAUAAAAGUUUAUGCCGCAUGGCAUAAGAGUGAAAGGCGCUUUCGGGUGUCGCUGAUGGAUGGACCCGCGGUGCAUUAGCUAGUUGGUGAGGUAACGGCUCACCAAGGCCACGAUGCAUAGCCGACCUGAGAGGGUGAUCGGCCACACUGGGACUGAGACACGGCCCAGACUCCUACGGGAGGCAGCAGUAGGGAAUCUUCGGCAAUGGACGAAAGUCUGACCGAGCAACGCCGCGUGAGUGAAGAAGGUUUUCGGAUCGUAAAACUCUGUUGUUAGAGAAGAACAAGGACGUUAGUAACUGAACGUCCCCUGACGGUAUCUAACCAGAAAGCCACGGCUAACUACGUG